AGUGAACGCUGGCGGUAGGCCUAACACAUGCAAGUCGAACGGCAGCACAGUAAGAGCUUGCUCUUACGGGUGGCGAGUGGCGGACGGGUGAGGAAUACAUCGGAAUCUACUUUUUCGUGGGGGAUAACGUAGGGAAACUUACGCUAAUACCGCAUACGACCUACAGGUGAAAGCAGGGGAUCUUCGGACCUUGCGCGAUUGAAUGAGCCGAUGUCGGAUUAGCUAGUUGGCGGGGUAAAGGCCCACCAAGGCGACGAUCCGUAGCUGGUCUGAGAGGAUGAUCAGCCACACUGGAACGGAGACACGGUCCAGACUCCUACGGGAGGCAGCAGUGGGGAAUAUUGGACAAUGGGCGCAAGCCUGAUCCAGCCAUACCGCGUGGGUGAAGAAGGCCUUCGGGUUGUAAAGCCCUUUUGUUGGGAAAGAAAAGCAGCAGGUUAAUACCCCGCUGUUCUGACGGUACCCAAAGAAUAAGCACCGGCUAACUUCGUG
This 492-nucleotide ribosomal RNA is filed under the name uncultured bacterium. RNAcentral describes it as "partial 16S ribosomal RNA". It matches the Rfam family "Bacterial small subunit ribosomal RNA", at positions 29 to 507 of the family's 1533-position model. The record is from RNAcentral.